Molecule: ribosomal RNA, 497 nt
Filed under: uncultured bacterium
Lineage: Bacteria
Description: partial 16S ribosomal RNA
Rfam family: Bacterial small subunit ribosomal RNA
Source: RNAcentral
GAUGAACGCUGGCGGCGUGCCUAAUACAUGCAAGUCGAGCGAACGGACGAGAAGCUUGCUUUUCUGAUGUUAGCGGCGGACGGGUGAGUAACACGUGUAUAACCUACCUAUAAGACUGGGAUAACUUCGGGAAACCGGAGCUAAUACCGGAUAAUAUUUUGAACCGCAUGGUUCAAAAGUGAAAGACGGUCUUGCUGUCACUUAUAGAUGGAUCCGCGCUGCAUUAGCUAGUUGGUAAGGUAACGGCUUACCAAGGCAACGAUGCAUAGCCGACCUGAGAGGGUGAUAGGCCACACUGGAACUGAGACACGGUCCAGACUCCUACGGGAGGCAGCAGUAGGGAAUCUUCCGCAAUGGGCGAAAGCCUGACGGAGCAACGCCGCGUGAGUGAUGAAGGUCUUCGGAUCGUAAAACUCUGUUAUUAGGGAAGAACAUAUGUGUAAGUAACUGUGCACAUCUUGACGGUACCUAAUCAGAAAGCCACGGCUAACUACGUG